Molecule: ribosomal RNA, 468 nt
Filed under: uncultured bacterium
Lineage: Bacteria
Description: partial 16S ribosomal RNA
Rfam family: Bacterial small subunit ribosomal RNA
Source: RNAcentral
GACGAACGCUGGCGGCGUGCUUAACACAUGCAAGUCGAACGGAAAGGCCCUGCUUUUGUGGGGUGCUCGAGUGGCGAACGGGUGAGUAACACGGGAGUAACCUGCCCUUGACUUUGGGAUAACUUCAGGAGACUGGGGCUAAUACCGGAUAGGAGCUCCUGCUGCAUGGUGGGGGUUGGAAAGUUUAGGCGGUUGUGGAUGGACUCGCGGCUUAUGAGCUUGUGGGUUGGGUAGUGGCUUACCAAGGCUUUGACGGGUAGGCGGCAUGAGAGGGUGGCCGGGGACAUUGGGCCUGAGAGACGGACCAGACUCCUACGGGAGGCAGCAGUCGGGAAUAUUGCACAAUGGGGGGACGCCUGAUGCAGAAGCGCCGCGUGCGGGAUGAAGGCCAUCGUGUUGUAAACCGCUUUAGCCUGAGACGUAGCGUGAGUGACGGUAAUGGGUAAAGAAGCACCGGCUAACUACGUG